Melopsittacus undulatus (budgerigar) is the source of this 992-nucleotide long non-coding RNA. RefSeq lists it as uncharacterized. The transcript is spliced from 2 exons. NCBI's taxonomy places the organism in Eukaryota, Metazoa, Chordata, Aves, Psittaciformes, Psittaculidae. The record is from RefSeq and is a predicted model, not a curated record.
AAACAGUAUAAAAAGGGCUCACAGCACAGAUAGUGUCAGUUGGCUGCUCUUCUCCUCUUUGGCAUCUUGAGUUCACUUCUCUGCCCAAAGGAUGUCCUUCUCCAGGCAGCAGCUCAGCUCCCGCUGCUCCCCACCCUGUGAGGUGACCUGCCCGCAGCCCAUUGCCAACACCUGGAACCAGCCCUGCAUCACCUCCUGCGGGGACUCCCGUGCCGUGGUCUACCCACCACCCGUGGUCAUCACCUUCCCGGGCCCCAUCCUCAGCUCCUGUCCUCAGGAGAGCAUCGUGGGCAGCUCAUCCCCACUGGGGCUGGACCGGCCCAGGGGCCUGCAGGGCUCCCUUAUCUAUGGGGGCUGCUUCUCCUCCUCUUCUUCCAGCCAGCUCUGGAGCCAGCGCUAUGGGGGCUGUGGGCCAUGCUAAGCAUGGCAGAAGCUGUGUCUGCCAGGAGAAGCAGUGGAGGAGCUGACAGCAAGACCUGAAUGUGCAACUGAGCUGAGAAGAAAGGCUCUCUGAAGGAAUAGUGAACUAUGAGAGCUUCUUAGCACUCAUGGGAACUGCUCUUCUGCUUGUCUUCUUUAUGCUCUGUUUGCUUUUAAUGUCAGUUUUCUCACAAUGUAUCUUUUCCACUCUUGGAAAUCCAAUUAUUGAUCAUGAAAAUCUGUUUCUCACUGUUAGAGCACAAAAACACUUCCAUCACUGGAAACUGGUCCAUGUAUGCUUUCAGUUGCUUGGGACCAUGGUACCAUUUCUUUGGUAGUUUUAUACUUUGAUUUCUUUAUGUCUAAUAAGAAUCUUAUCAACUUAUACUAUGAUUUGUCCUGUCCAUUUGAAACUUGAACCAAGACAGAAAAGAAAUGUGAUGAAAAUAAGUCAGUUUGAUACAGAUUAUUAGGUUGGCCCUUUCAAAAUCUGUCUUGUGUUUUUCCCUUACUUUGCUGAAAAUCUACACUUCUUGGUCCUAAUAAACACUUAUGAUUGCAUCCAAAGAACA